GGUCAGCGACUUAUAUUCUGUAGCAAGGUUAACCGCAUAGGGGAGCCGGAGGGAAACCGAGUCUUAAUUGGGCGUUAAGUUGCAGGGUAUAGACCCGAAACCCGGUGAUCUAGCCAUGGGCAGGUUGAAGGUUGGGUAACACUAACUGGAGGACCGAACCGACUAAUGUUGAAAAAUUAGCGGAUGACCUGUGGCUGGGGGUGAAAGGCCAAUCAAACCGGGAGAUAGCUGGUUCUCCCCGAAAGCUAUUUAGGUAGCGCCUCGUGAAUUCAUCUCCGGGGGUAGAGCACUGUUUCGGCUAGGGGGCCAUCCCGGCUUACCAACCCGAUGCAAACUGCGAAUACCGGAGAAUGUUAUCACGGGAGACACACGGCGGGUGCUAACGUCCGUCGUGAAGAGGGAAACAACCCAGACCGCCAGCUAAGGUCCCAAAGUCAUGGUUAAGUGGGAAACGAUGUGGGAAGGCCCAGACAGCCAGGAUGUUGGCUUAGAAGCAGCCAUCAUUUAAAGAAAGCGUAAUAGCUCACUGGUCGAGUCGGCCUGCGCGGAAGAUGUAACGGGGCUAAACCAU
RNAcentral lists this ribosomal RNA (571 nucleotides) under Salmonella enterica subsp. enterica serovar Meleagridis. Its description in RNAcentral is "partial 23S ribosomal RNA". It matches the Rfam family "Bacterial large subunit ribosomal RNA", at positions 618 to 1190 of the family's 2925-position model. The record is from RNAcentral. Lineage: Bacteria; Pseudomonadati; Pseudomonadota; Gammaproteobacteria; Enterobacterales; Enterobacteriaceae.